CCAGACUCCUACGGGAGGCAGCAGUGAGGAAUAUUGGUCAAUGGCCGCGAGGCUGAACCAGUCAAGUCGCGUGAGGGAUGACGGCCCUACGGGUUGUAAACCUCUUUUGCCGGGGAGCAAAGAGCGGGACGCGUCCCGCCUCGCGAGUACCCGGAGAAAAAGCAUCGGCUAACUCCGUGCCAGCAGCCGCGGUAAUACGGAGGAUGCGAGCGUUAUCCGGAUUUAUUGGGUUUAAAGGGUGCGUAGGCGGACGCUUAAGUCAGCGGUAAAAUUGCGGGGCUCAACCUCGUCGAGCCGUUGAAACUGGGGGCCUUGAGUGGGCGAGAAGUACGCGGAAUGCGUGGUGUAGCGGUGAAAUGCAUAGAUAUCACGCAGAACUCCGAUUGCGAAGGCAGCGUACCGGCGCCCAACUGACGCUGAAGCACGAAGGCGUGGGUAUCGAACAGGAUUAGAUACCCUCGUA
Molecule: ribosomal RNA, 463 nt
Filed under: uncultured bacterium
Lineage: Bacteria
Description: bacterial SSU rRNA
Rfam family: Bacterial small subunit ribosomal RNA
Source: RNAcentral